RNAcentral lists this long non-coding RNA (4519 nucleotides) under Sus scrofa (pig). Its description in RNAcentral is "lncRNA (ENSSSCG00025052850.1)". Lineage: Eukaryota; Metazoa; Chordata; Mammalia; Artiodactyla; Suidae. The record is from RNAcentral.
CCCCGCGUGCCCACACCUUGCAGUUUAUAUAGAAGGCGCCGCCGGGCCGAUUCGCGGCUCUCUGGGACCCGAGAGUUCUUUGGAAGGAGAGCGAGAGCGAGCCGGGGAGCGGGCGAGCUCCGAGGGGGUGUGGGUGUAGGGAGAGAGAGCAGGCAGCGGCGGCGGCGGCAGCGCUGGGGAAAAGCGGAUUCCGCCCGGAGCCACACCGAGGGGAGCUCGCGGUCGCGACUUGCCGCCCUAAGCACUCUCCCAAGUCCGGCCCGCUCGGCGAGGACUUCCGUCUCCUGGCCGACCCUUGUCAAGCAAGCUGGGAUCUAUGAGUGGAAAGGUGACCAAGCCCAAAGAGGAGAAAGAUGCUUCUAAGGGUAAGCCCGCCUGCCGAGUCCGCCGGCUUCCCUUCCCUAGCUUUCCCUCGCCCGCUCGCGUGCGCGCCGCCCUUCGGCGGCUCCCGGCCGCCCUCCUGGAGCCUAAGCUGCCCGUGACCUCUGCGACCCCGGGCGAGAAAGGGGGGGCCGGGCCGCUGCGGGGGGGGGGGUUCUGGGUUUGCACCACUUUCCCUCCUUCCUCGUGGAAUUGUCGCCCCGCGAGUGUCUCCAGCCUCUUCCACUUCCCCUCUGGACGCACCGGGGUGGCGCUGCGGGCAGACGAAGCUGCUGCAGCCCCGGGCGCCGGGCACAGCGCUGCCUGCUCCUGGCCGGCCGCCCCUCUGUGCGAGUGCUUGUGUGUGCGUGUGCGCGAGUGUGCAUAUGUGUGCUGCGCGGGUGCAACAUGGUGACAUACUCAGGAAUCUGCCCCGCUCCGAGAACCCGAGCCCGAAUCCACCUUCAACCCCCCUCUCCCCGCCCCCAAUGCAAACAAAGAGCCUGGCCGAGACGCAAGACCCCUCCCCCACCCGCCUUUCCCCUUCACGCCCCCUGCUCCCCAACUCUCCACGUCCCCUCCCCCGAAAGCAGGAGGUUGCAACCUUCGACACGCCGCGUGCAAAAGUGAGCAAUCCCGGUGCCCCGGCGCCGCCCGCGCUGCGCCUCGGCAGCCUCGCCAAACCCCAGGAGAACAAAGGCUCCGGUCCCCUUGCCACUAGUGCCCGGGCGCGAGCGGGCCUCCGUGGGAGGGGAGAGUCCCCUCCCUAAGCUCUCUGGGGUUUAGCCACCUGGCCCGCGGGCGCCCGGCCGCGGGUCCCCCGGAGAGCGCUUCUCGGCCUGGGGCCUCCCACCGGCGGGUUGGGGAGGCGCAGCGCAGCGGGGCUCAGGCUGGGAGAACUCGGGAGAAGGAAGGGGCGUCCCCCUGACCCCCCCACCCCCAGCUCUAGCGGUUGCCUUGCUGAGGGACCCGGCUUAGCUCCGGAAUGUAAACUGGAGACGGCCUCCUUGGAGACCCGGGUGCGGACAGAGGCGCUGAGAGGGGGUGUGGUAGAGCUCCGGGAAAAGGGCAGGUGCCUUAGGCAUGGCCACAGAGCCGACGCUGGAGCGGGCCCCUGGCACGCCGAACCGCAGCGACCCACGCCGAGUCCUCGCUGCUGCAGGCGUGGGGCUGCAGUGGGGGGAGCCCCAGCUUUCGUUCACGGGGCCCCAAUUCCUCCUUGAGCCCAGGGGGUUCCCUGCCCUCCCACUCCUUUCCCUCUUUUUCUCCUCUCCUCCUCCUCGCCUCUCCCCAUCCCUCAGAGCGUUCCUUCCCCGGAGAUUCUAGGGCAGCGCCAGCCCUCCCCCGCGGAAAGUUGUCAAAGUCUGCAGCUCAGGGCCUUCAUCCUUGUUUUUAAAUGGAGCCGGUUCUCUCCCAUCUAGACGAAAAAGCGUCGACGAGAGGCUCGAGAAGUUUGUGGGGGGCUCUAGAUCUGUUGGGCCAGGGGUCAACACUGGCCUGUCUUAAGGCUGGAGGUCACCUCACUCACACCCGCUGGCUGUCUGAUGGAAACCGCCACCUGGAAAGUAGAACUCCUCCUGCUAGACUUUUCCAGAGCUUGCCUAAUUGUUGUGCAUUUUAAGUAGGCAUUGGUAUGAUGAGCGAAAGUGACUUCCGGUGGUUUGUUUCCACCCAGGGCCCCCAAGGGUAAAGCUCUUGAAAACUGUAGCCCCCAUUGAUCCCAGGCAAGUGAUUGUCCUUCUGCAUCUGGGAGUGUUUCAGAUUUGUUUCUGGAACUUUGGUCCCUGCUUUCCAUCAGGUGGUUACCCAAGGUUUAUUUCAGGCUAUCUUUGGGAGGACCCUGAAACCAAAUUCAUUCACAGAAAAGGAGAUGCUGUUUUAGGAAGGUAAUCUGUAAUUGUCCAGAAGGGCGUAACAAGCCUGGAAACCUGAGGACAAGUUUCCGGAACUCAAUAAUGAAAAUUUUCACUAGGCGGAUGUCAUAACAUUUUCUUAUGUUGACUCACCACGUUUGAAAGCGAAUACCUCUCUGUAGGAAUUGUGUAAUUAGCAUUUGGAAUUAUGGUUGUAAUUAGAAUAAAUUAAAGUAAUUUUACAAGGCAACUUUUCAGAGGGGAGUUGACUUUCCCGAGGAGAUGGGAAUCUUACGGCUGCUGAGAGCCGGAGUCCCAUUCGGCCUUUCUGUUGGUUGUUGAAUUUAGAGCAUUUUCGAUACAGUGAAUGCCUGAUGGCCCUUAGUAUUUUACCCUUUUACGAAUGUUCAGAGUCUUCUGUGACGAGCUCGUAAAGACAACUUUUUACCUUGGAGAUGAGAGGUACCAGGUCUAUUUAUAUUUUCAACCAAUAAACUUUAUUGACCAUAUUCACGAGGAGGUUUGGUUAUUUACAAAUUUCCUCCGUGUAGGUAAUGUUCUUCGGACAUUUUCAAGCUAAGUGACUCAUGAGCACACUCUGUGCAACAGAGCAAGAUACAGGAUUGAACAUCUAAUGGGUACUUUGAAUAUACACGCUUCUUUAUGAACACCGGCGCGACGAAUGAUUGAAUCAAGUCAAAUAAUUUAGUAGCAGUUUGAAUGAAUUUCCUAAUCUGUUUUCAGAGCCGACUGCUCAUUGAAAUUCGGCCUCCCACCCCAUCAUUUGGGAUUCAUGCCCAAAGCCUAUCAUAACUGCAUAGAACAUUAUCAUAGAGUGCAGCGGUUCUGGAGUUUCGGGAGCACAGGUAGUAGAUGAUGAGUAGGUUCUUCUGUGCCGCUUAAUGAAAUACGGCUUUCGGGGCAUAGAGAUUGCUGAUUGUCUUUUUAAAUGACGCCCUUCGACUCAUGGGGCUUAAAACCAGUGAUGGACAAUGAUCUUUCCGAUAACCUUUUCCAUAAGGUAGCCAGACAGGACCAGACAGACCCUCCUCUUGGGAGGGGAGAGGGGAAGCGUGAUUCUAUUUGAAACUAUUAAAAUGGCCUCUUACGCAGCACAUCAUCUUUUGUGUGUUUAUUUAGGCUCUGCGCAAACUUUUAAGCUGGCAGAGGUAUACAUAGUUGGGGGCACUCGGCUCCUGAACAGGAGGCCCUGUUUCCAUUUCAGGGACAAGGAAAGCAUUACCGUUUGUUUGCUCAAGCAGAUAGGCACUUAGCUUUGACUCACUCGUCUCUGCCCUGUCUCUGCCCUGUCACCUAAGAUCUUUACCCCAUUUCUUCUUCGGAAAAGCACUCUGUUAAGGCUGUGUCUGGUUUACUGCCACUGUGUUCCUGUGGCAUCCAGAAAACGCCGUCUGUUACAGAUAAAUCCAAACCGUUUGUGGAUCAAGUGAAAGCGCUGGCUGGUCCUCAUGUUCAAAACUGUCCUUUGGUUUGUAGCUACCUGUUUGGAGUUGGGUGUGUUUUUUCAGCAGUCCCUUCCCAUGUGCUUAGCCAGGGAGCCAUCACAUCCAGGCAAGUCUCAAGGCCACAUGGGUUAUGGCUUCUCUCUGUGCUACGGGCAGCACUAAGGUCAGGCCGGCUCUCUGCUGGCCGCGGGGCCGUGGAGGACAAUUCCACGCACAGGCUGAGAAGCCGGCCACUUGCACAGCUGUUGCUCUAAUAGCUGGCGGGGCCCACGCGCACGUAUGGGCUCAGCUCCUGCCUGGCCUCUUCCAGUAGCCUCUCUAGCCGUACCCAAGAAAGACAGGGCAUUGUGGUCGGGUGGCCAGUGUAUCGAGUCAUGAACCCCGAAUGCCAUUCCGAAAGCUCUUCUUGGUCUUGGUGGAUUAGUGCAGUUGCUUCUGUCAAGUGUCUUUCCCAGGCUUGGGCCCGGCGAAGCCGGUGUUUAGAGGCAUCCAUCGCCCCGCCCCCAGCCCCUUCCAUGAAAUCAUGACGUUGGUCCCUUCUUAUUAAAAACCAACAACCGGGGAGUUCCCGUCGUGGCGCAGUGGUUAGCGAAUCCGACUAGGAACCAUGAGGUUGCGGGUUCGGUCCCUGCCCUUGCUCAGUGGGUUAACGAUCCGGCGUUGCCGUGAGCUGUGGUGUAGGUUGCAGACGCGGCUCGGAUCCUGCGUUGCUGUGGCUCUGGUGUAGGCCAGUGGCUACAGCUCCGAUUGGACCCCUAGCCUGGGAACCUCCACAUGCCAUGGGAACGGCCCAAGAAAUAGCAAAAAGACAAAAAAACCAAACAAACAAACAAAAAAAAA